AACCUUUACACUGCACGACAGUGCGAUAGGGGGACUCCGAGUGCGAGGGCAUAGAGCCCUCGCUUUUGUACACCGUAAGGUGGUGUACAAAUAAGAACUGGGCAAGACCGGUGCCAGCCGCCGCGGUAAUACCGGCAGUUCGAGUGAUGGCCGAUUUUAUUGGGCCUAAAGCGUUCGUAGCUGGCCGAUCAAGUCUGUCGGGAAAUCUGCUCGCCUAACGAGCAGGCGUCCGGCGGAAACUGAUCGGCUUGGGACCGGAAGACUCGAGGGGUACGUCCGGGGUAGGAGUGAAAUCCUGUAAUCCUGGACGGACCACCGAUGGCGAAAGCACCUCGAGAGCACGGAUCCGACAGUGAGGAACGAAAGCUGGGGUCUCGAACCGGAUUAGAUACCCGGGUAGUCCCAGCUGUCAACGAUGCCCGCUAGGUAUGGCGCAGGCUACGAGCCUGUGCUAUGCCGUAGCGAAGGCGCUAAGCGGGCCGCCUGGGAAGUACGUUCGCAAGAAUGAAACUUAA
RNAcentral lists this ribosomal RNA (515 nucleotides) under uncultured archaeon. Its description in RNAcentral is "bacterial SSU rRNA". It matches the Rfam family "Archaeal small subunit ribosomal RNA", at positions 345 to 859 of the family's 1478-position model. The record is from RNAcentral.